Molecule: long non-coding RNA, 1951 nt
Filed under: Mytilus galloprovincialis (Mediterranean mussel)
Lineage: Eukaryota; Metazoa; Mollusca; Bivalvia; Mytilida; Mytilidae
Source: RNAcentral
UUAAUUUCAGGGAAUGACCGAGUUCAUCAAUUGACUGGAUUGGGAAACAACGUUCUUAGAAUAUAUUUUGAAGACUGGGAAGGAAACAGUCGUUAUGCUGUUUUCAAUAGUUUUUCUCUCGGUGAUGAAGUCUCAAACUAUAUUUUGUCAUAUGGUUCAUACAGUGGUAAUGCAGGUAUAUACUCACAUAUGAUAAAUGGAAAACAUAUUUGAAUAUCCCCAAAACAUUUUCAGGAAUAGAAAUAAUACUUCGUCGUAAUGAGUUCCAAAUGAUUUACAAAAGAACAUUAUCACCAAUGCUCUUCAACUUUGUACUUGUUUGGCUUUAUAAAUAUUUUGAUAUGAGCGUCACUGAUGAUUCUUAUGUAGACGAAACGCGCGUCUGGCGUACUAAAUUAUAAUCCUGGUACCUUUGAUAACUAUCAUAUACUAGUAUUGAUGAAAAGUAAUAUACAUAGUAAUUAGCUUGAGGCAUAAAACUUAACACGAUUUAAGUGAUUAUCGAUUUUUACAAUUCGUUUUAUUUAACUAUGAACUGUUUAAAAUACUGUGGCUUGAAACUGAAUCAAUUACUGUUUGAAAAGAGAAAAAAGAUAAAUGUCAGCUCUUUGUAUAGCAUUCGUAAAUUCAUGUCAACAGGAACUUAGUUCUAAGUAAUAGAGUUAAGAAGAUAAUCUUAUCUUUUUUUAAUACAUUUUCUGUAGAUUAAAUUAAUGCUCGUUUAAUUUGUUUUUUGUUAUUUUAUACUUCAAGUUAACAAACAAACAGCGAUUUAAAAAAACAACAUUAUAUUAAUGAUUUUUUAAAACAAAAUUUAAUGUUUGCAUUUGUUUUGUAGUUGAUGAUACGCUUUAUUUAGUUCAGUAAUUAAAAUUUAUUAAUAAUUAAUAUGUUGACACUAUUACUCUGAAUUAUGAAUUAUUGAGUUUCACGUCAAAUGCAUCGGUUGCUCCUUUCAUCAAAAUACAUGUAUGUAGUUGUACUACAAACAUAACUCAAUAUAUAUAUGGUCCUCAAAAGAUAUGACAAAAAAACUAGUGUUAGGGUAAAUGAAAAAAGAAACAGAUUACAUAAAAGGAUUUUCUGACUGGGUCAGUGACUUAUAUCUUUUUGGAAUAACUACAGAGAGUAGUAAGGGUUACAUUUCGUUCAGAAAUGACAAACUAUUAAUUUUUAAAAUAUUCAUAAAACCCAGUUGAUCAAGCGAAUGUCAGUCACAAUGUAUGUCUAUCUAUUACAGGAAACAGUUUGGCUAAUAAUGUGAAAUUUACAACAGCAGACAGACAAAAUGACGGUCGUCCGAAGAGAGCCAAUUGUGCAAAAAGAUCAUUAUGGAGGACCGUGGUGGUAUCCCAAUGAUUGUGGUUAUUCCGAUCUUAAUGGAGAGUAUGUUAAUGGUGGUAAAGGUUUACUGUCUGGACACGGCUUGGUUUGGAAUGAUUGGAAGGGAUUUGGCUACUCAAUGAAAGUUACAAAAAUGAUGAUGAAUAAAUGAAACAAAUAACCGUAACUUAGUUGUACUGUUUCACAGUGUCCAAUUUACUGUCAGUUGCUAUAUACUGGCGUUGUAAAAGUAUUGGACAACUUUUAAUAAAUGAUCAUGUUGUAUAUAAAAUCAAUAUAUAAUAAAGCAAAAACCUCGGUCUAAACAAAACACACGAUGGUAUUAUAUUUUGUUUCCGUAGCAAUGUUAUCAGGUAUGCACAGACAUAACAAUCUUUGCGUUAUACUAAUAGUUCGAAAGGUUUGUAUUGGAUUUUUCAUUUUUGUACUUUGAACUUUGUACUUAAUUAACUUCUUUUAUUUACGGAAAUAUCGUGUGUUAAUACUUAGCAACACAUAGACUGAAAACUGCUACGGAACACUAUAAGCUUCUGAAAUUUACACUAGAUUUCCUGACCUACAACAAAACAUCCAUAAGUGAAGCUUGACGCUUAUUUAUAAUGAGGCA